UGCCAGCCGCCGCGGUAAUACGGAGGGGGUGAGCGUAGUUCGGAAUUACUGGGCUUAAAGAGUUCGUAGGUGGUUAAAAAAGUUGGUGGUGAAAUCCCAGAGCUUAACUCUGGAACUGCCAUCAAAACUUUUUAGCUAGAGUAUGAUAGAGGAAAGCAGAAUUUCUAGUGUAGAGGUGAAAUUCGUAGAUAUUAGAAAGAAUACCGAUUGCGAAGGCAGCUUUCUGGAUCAUUACUGACGCUGAGGAACGAAAGCAUGGGUAGCGAAGAGGAUUAGAUA
This 279-nucleotide ribosomal RNA is filed under the name uncultured bacterium. Its description in RNAcentral is "partial 16S ribosomal RNA". It matches the Rfam family "Bacterial small subunit ribosomal RNA", at positions 506 to 784 of the family's 1533-position model. The record is from RNAcentral.